This 377-nucleotide unclassified non-coding RNA is filed under the name soil metagenome. RNAcentral describes it as "partial contains 5.8S ribosomal RNA, internal transcribed spacer 2, and large subunit ribosomal RNA". The stretch from base 1 to 121 matches the Rfam family "5.8S ribosomal RNA", at positions 35 to 154 of the family's 154-position model. The record is from RNAcentral.
GAUGAAGAACGCCAGCGAAAUGCGAUAAGUAAUGUGAAUUGCAGAAUUCAGUGAAUCAUCGAAUCUUUGAACGCAUCUUGCGCUCCUUGGUAUUCUGAGGAGCAUGCCUGUUUGAGUGUCAUUAAAUUCUCAACUACACUGACUUUGAAUUGGUGUGGCUUGGAUUUGGGGGGAAAAUUGUUGUGGGCUUUUUGUAUAGUCUGCUCCCCUGAAAUUGAUUAGCGGUACCUUUGUGGAACUGUCUACAGGUGUGAUAAUUAUCUACAUCUUAGACAUCUGCUGGAAUGCUGCUUUCUAAACCUUACUUGUAUUGACAAUCUUGACCUCAAAUCAGGUAGGACUACCCGCUGAACUUAAGCAUAUCAAUAAGCGGAGGA